Molecule: long non-coding RNA, 221 nt
Organism: Ornithorhynchus anatinus (platypus)
Lineage: Eukaryota; Metazoa; Chordata; Mammalia; Monotremata; Ornithorhynchidae
Exons: 2
Source: RefSeq, a predicted model, not a curated record
CUGAGCAGAAGCCAGCAGAGCGGAGAAUCAGGUGGUCUUGAACUGAGGCUGAAGUUUGCACUUGGUCAGCAGGAGGUCAAGCUGCUCACACCACCACUAGCCCCAGGGUCCCUACCACACCUGCCGCCUUAGGAGACAAUCCAUUGUGAAGAAGAAAAAGCCGCAGGAAAUCGAGUGAAUGAAUAAAUCCUUCUAAGUGCGUGAACUUCACACAAGAAGAA